GACUGACUGACUUGGAAUACUCCUGGCUGAACGCUGUAACACUCAGAUAGCACAAAGUUACUUCUGCAAAGGACCAAGAAUCUGCAGUUUCCUGAUGAUGCAAAAUUACGGUAGGCAGAAUUAGAGCUGACUGGGAGCAUUUGCCCAAGGGUCUCACAAAUACUAAGUGAUACGGCAGUAAGAUGGCAGAUGAAAUUCUAUGUCAAUAAAUGCAAGCUAGUAUAAGUAGCAAUGGAAACAACUCUAAACAUACACAAUAACGGGCUCUAAAUUAGCCUGUAACAGUUGGAGUCUUUGUGAAUAGUUCUCUGCAAACAUUAGCUUACUACUCAGCAGUAGACAAAAAGGCAAACAAUGCUAGAAAUUACUACAAAAGCAAGUGAGAACAAACAGCAGACCUCAUUACACCACUAUAUGAAUCUCUUGUGUACUUGAGUACUGCGUACGGUUCCGGUUCAUACAAAAACGUAGAACUAGAAAAUGUAUAUACAAAGCUAAAAGAAUAUCCAGAGGUAUGGAGAGACUUCUGUGUGACGAGAUAUUUCUAACAAGAAAACAGGCUGAGAAAGGACAGUCUUCUGAUCUGCAAGAUCAUGAAGGACAGGAAGGAGGCCAAUAGGAAAUGAUUAUGCACUACUUGUCAAUAUAUAAACCUUAAGGGAGGCCCAGUAAAUGGUCAGGCAAUAGAUUUAAAGCAAAGAGAGGGGAAGACCUUUUCCAUGCAAAGUAUUAUUACAUUGGAUGCCUUGCUGCUCUGAGAAGCUACAGAACCGAAGAGACAGACGUAUUUAAACAGGGAUUACACGAAUGAAUGAAUGAAGGGUAUCAGUAGCUAUUAAGCACAAUGAUUUCCCUUUCAGCUCCUACUUAAAAGGUGCCUGCCUGAUGCCUGCUGAAAGCUGCCAGAGAAAGAACGCUCUUUACAAGCCUUGUUUCAACACUCUUCUUCGCAAGCACUGGUUUCCAGCCAUUGUGGAGAAUGGGGUGCCAGAUUAAAUGGACUUUCACUCUGAGUCUGCACAGCCAUUCAGAUGAUUUAGUCCUUUCUUUCUACCCAGUUAUAUAUGAGAAAACAAGGAUACGCAUCACCUCUGAGCUUGAGCUACCAGAACUGCCUUAACCGUUUGGAAGCGCUUCUGUGCUUAAAAUGCAAUACAGUAUUAGGCUGACUCCAAAAGGCCUAAUCCUGUUUGUAACUCAAGUUUCUCCUGCUGCAUUUGUCCCUGCCAAAAUUAGAGGUGGUGAAUGAGCUAUUUGAUCUGAAAGUUGUUUAAGUUGUUCCAAUAAGCUCAAGACAGCUACAGCUACAUGGUGAACUGUCAGUGCAAGGAGAAGGAACAGAAUCAUCACACAGUAGAGGAAUGAAAAAGAAAUUAACCAACAACAUAAAACACCUCAACAGAAAGCACAUUUUGAAUGACAGACACCGCUGUAAAAAUAAACCUGGUGCCACAACAUUAAUUAUGUACA
This 1470-nucleotide long non-coding RNA is filed under the name Struthio camelus australis. RNAcentral's name for it is "lncRNA (ENSSCUG00000010710.1)". The record is from RNAcentral. Lineage: Eukaryota; Metazoa; Chordata; Aves; Struthioniformes; Struthionidae.